UGCAGUCGAGCGGAUCUUUGGGAGCUUGCUCCCAAAGGUUAGCGGCGGACGGGUGAGUAACACGUGGGCAACCUGCCUAUGAGACUGGGAUAACUCCGGGAAACCGGGGCUAAUACCGGAUAAUUCUUUUCUACACAUGUAGAAAAGCUGAAAGAUGGUUUCGGCUAUCACUCAUAGAUGGGCCCGCGGCGCAUUAGCUAGUUGGUGAGGUAACGGCUCACCAAGGCGACGAUGCGUAGCCGACCUGAGAGGGUGAUCGGCCACACUGGGACUGAGACACGGCCCAGACUCCUACGGGAGGCAGCAGUAGGGAAUCUUCCGCAAUGGACGAAAGUCUGACGGAGCAACGCCGCGUGAGUGAUGAAGGUUUUCGGAUCGUAAAACUCUGUUGUUAGGGAAGAACAAGUACCGGAGUAACUGCCGGUACCUUGACGGUACCUAACCAGAAAGCCACGGCUAACUACGUGCCAGCAGCCGCGGUAAUACGUAGGUGGCAAGCGUUGUCCGGAAUUAUUGGGCGUAAAGCGCGCGCAGGUGGUCUCUUAAGUCUGAUGUGAAAGCCCCCGGCUCAACCGGGGAGGGUCAUUGGAAACUGGGAGACUUGAGUGCAGGAGAGAAGAGUGGAAUUCCACGUGUAGCGGUGAAAUGCGUAGAGAUGUGGAGGAACACCAGUGGCGAAGGCGACUC
Molecule: ribosomal RNA, 687 nt
Filed under: Bacillus sp. (in: firmicutes)
Lineage: Bacteria; Bacillati; Bacillota; Bacilli; Caryophanales; Bacillaceae
Description: bacterial SSU rRNA
Rfam family: Bacterial small subunit ribosomal RNA
Source: RNAcentral